GGGCUCGCAGGCGGUUUCUUAAGUCUGAUGUGAAAGCCCCCGGCUCAACCGGGGAGGGUCAUUGGAAACUGGGAAACUUGAGUGCACAAGAGGAGAGUGGAAUUCCACGUGUAGCGGUGAAAUGCGUAGAGAUGUGGAGGAACACCAGUGGCGAAGGCGACUCUCUGGUCUGUAACUGACGCUGAGGAGCGAAAGCGUGGGGAGCGAACAGGAUUAGAUACCCUGGUAGUCCACGCCGUAAACGAUGAGUGCUAAGUGUUAGGGGGUUUCCGCCCCUUAGUGCUGCAGCUAACGCAUUAAGCACUCCGCCUGGGGAGUACGGUCGCAAGACUGAAACUCAAAGGAAUUGACGGGGGCCCGCACAAGCGGUGGAGCAUGUGGUUUAAUUCGAAGCAACGCGAAGAACCUUACCAGGUCUUGACAUCCUCUGACAACCCUAGAGAUAGGGCUUUCCCUUCGGGGACAGAGUGACAGGUGGUGCAUGGUUGUCGUCAGCUCGUGUCGUGAGAUGUUGGGUUAAGUCCC
RNAcentral lists this ribosomal RNA (525 nucleotides) under Bacillus pumilus. Its description in RNAcentral is "bacterial SSU rRNA". It matches the Rfam family "Bacterial small subunit ribosomal RNA", at positions 565 to 1088 of the family's 1533-position model. Lineage: Bacteria; Bacillati; Bacillota; Bacilli; Caryophanales; Bacillaceae. The record is from RNAcentral.